CCUACGGGUGGCAGCAGUGGGGAAUUUUGGACAAUGGGCGCAAGCCUGAUCCAGCAAUGCCGCGUGUGUGAAGAAGGCCUUCGGGUUGUAAAGCACUUUUGUCCGGAAAGAAAACCUCGUGGUUAAUACCCGUGGGGGAUGACGGUACCGGAAGAAUAAGCACCGGCUAACUACGUGCCAGCAGCCGCGGUAAUACGUAGGGUGCAAGCGUUAAUCGGAAUUACUGGGCGUAAAGCGUGCGCAGGCGGUUCGCUAAGACAGAUGUGAAAUCCCCGGGCUUAACCUGGGAACUGCAUUUGUGACUGGCGGGCUAGAGUAUGGCAGAGGGGGGUAGAAUUCCACGUGUAGCAGUGAAAUGCGUAGAGAUGUGGAGGAAUACCGAUGGCGAAGGCAGCCCCCUGGGCCAAUACUGACGCUCAUGCACGAAAGCGUGGGGAGCA
RNAcentral lists this ribosomal RNA (440 nucleotides) under uncultured bacterium. RNAcentral's name for it is "bacterial SSU rRNA". It matches the Rfam family "Bacterial small subunit ribosomal RNA", at positions 338 to 770 of the family's 1533-position model. The record is from RNAcentral.